RNAcentral lists this transfer RNA (77 nucleotides) under Kroppenstedtia eburnea. RNAcentral describes it as "tRNA-Pro". It matches the Rfam family "tRNA". Rfam says of the family: Transfer RNA (tRNA) molecules are approximately 80 nucleotides in length. Their secondary structure includes four short double-helical elements and three loops (D, anti-codon, and T loops). Lineage: Bacteria; Bacillati; Bacillota; Bacilli; Caryophanales; Thermoactinomycetaceae. The record is from RNAcentral. RNAcentral also lists the same sequence under 4 other names.
CGGGGCGUGGCUCAGCUUGGUAGAGCACCUGCUUUGGGAGCAGGGGGUCGCAGGUUCAAAUCCUGUCGCCCCGACCA